RNAcentral lists this transfer RNA (90 nucleotides) under Nocardioides sp. LS1. RNAcentral's name for it is "tRNA-Gly". Lineage: Bacteria; Bacillati; Actinomycetota; Actinomycetes; Propionibacteriales; Nocardioidaceae. The record is from RNAcentral.
CCCGCGCCUGGUCGAGCGCGGCCGCGGCCUCCCCGGCCGCGAGCAGGGCCGUGGCCCGGCGCAGCUGCAGCUCGGCCCGCUGGACCGGGA